This is a long non-coding RNA of Microplitis mediator, 844 nucleotides long. RefSeq lists it as uncharacterized. The record is from RefSeq and is a predicted model, not a curated record. NCBI's taxonomy places the organism in Eukaryota, Metazoa, Arthropoda, Insecta, Hymenoptera, Braconidae. The transcript is spliced from 4 exons.
UGGGUAUCCUCGAUUUCAAGCCUUCUUGAAAAAAAAGACAUGAUUCCAAAGCAAAAAGUCGAAGUUUGAUUAUCCAGUGAGAUUAACAAGUUUCUAAAAGAAGCUUUAGAUGUUCGGUAUAUACUUAGCGACAAAGGUGGUUGCGAUUCUUGAAGUACUUGGGGCAUGCAGAGGUCAAGAAUGUAACAUGACGGUUGGUAAUUUUAAAGAUGUUGGACAGACCAUUCACAAUUGAAAGUGUCUAUUACAAAACUAUAAAAAAAUACGCUGAUCUUCGACCAAAUGAAAUGGAUACCGAUGGGUUAUUUCUAAAUUACCCAAGUGGGAAAUGCUUUCGGCAAGUCAUCGGCAAAAAUAAAAUUGCUCAAUGCCCGAAGUAAAUUGCUCAGUAUACUUCAUGCUAGCUAAUCCAUCAAGAUAUACUGGUCAUAGUUUCAGACGAACUUCAGCAACGCUACUUGCGGAUUCUGAUCAGUUGACUAAGUUCUUUAAUUCUUCAAUACAUUCAAAUCUGCAAGUGUCUUGUAAACAAGGAAAGUAAAAAAAAUCUAUUACUCUGAUGACGAGUUCUGAUUCUCUCGAACUUUAAGAAGGACAUACAUUGAAUCAAUCUUCUGAACCACUUGGAAAAAAAGUUUAUAAUUUUUAUAAUUGUACUAUGGUACAAUUAAUAUAUUAAUUCAGUUAAUUGAUUCACAAAAACUCUAAUAUUUAUAAUUUGAAAAAUUCAUAAAAUACAAAAAAUCAAAUUAAUAAAUUUUGUUCAAUUUCCCGCACCAUCAACCUGAAAUAAACGCGUUUCUAACUGGCUGCUGACACUGAAACUUGAAGUUCCGAUGCAGGU